UGUAGAAUAAGCUAAGAAUAAGCUAUUGGGUUCAUACCCCAAAAAUGGACAUGAGUUCUUCUACAA
RNAcentral lists this transfer RNA (66 nucleotides) under Melo melo. Its description in RNAcentral is "tRNA-Met". Lineage: Eukaryota; Metazoa; Mollusca; Gastropoda; Neogastropoda; Volutidae. The record is from RNAcentral.